Molecule: long non-coding RNA, 679 nt
Organism: Populus trichocarpa (black cottonwood)
Lineage: Eukaryota; Viridiplantae; Streptophyta; Magnoliopsida; Malpighiales; Salicaceae
Exons: 2
Source: RefSeq, a predicted model, not a curated record
UCAUCAUUUAUUCUAAAAGCUCUACCCUCGUCAAAUCAAACCUCUCUAUAUAUAAAUCAUGGAUCCAUGGCAUCAGAAACCGAUGGACCACAAAUUGUAAAAUCAUCUUCUUUAAGGUGGUAGACACUACAGAGGCUAAGGAGCUAAGGUCUGGUGCUCGACUACCAGAGCUAGCUCCUACUGCGUAAAUGGAGAUGUGGCCCACAGUCUCUGAGCUUUGAUGACAUCAAGCAUUUGGACACUACUGUAAGCUUGUUGCAGACUUCGAUGUGGGGUCCUUAGGCUCAGUUCCCCAUGCUUGCUCAAGAGCUAUGGCCAUGGAUGAUGGACCCUUGCCCCUUCGAAAGGUGUGGCCAUGCUUGUUUUGUGUUCUUCUUUCUUCCUCCAAGAGAAGAGAGGGUAGGCAAGGGAGUUAUGCUUCUUUUCUUUUUAUUUUUUUUUUCUUUUUUUUGUUACAGAGAGCAAUGAAAAUGUUUUUUGAAAUUAAAGUUGUGUAUUUUGACCACUUUUCUAUUAUUUAGUUUGAAAUAGUUAGGUUUGAAGUUUCAAUCACCAUAUUAAAACAAAAUCAAUUAUGAACUCAAUUAUAUAUGUAUAAUUAAUUUAUUAAUUUAUUUAUAUCUAUUCAUCAAAUCAAUCAAGCUGAUUUGAUUGACUCUAUGAUAAGAUCUUUAUUACA